This 314-nucleotide small nuclear RNA is filed under the name Peromyscus maniculatus bairdii (prairie deer mouse). Its description in RNAcentral is "7SK RNA (ENSPEMG00000003810.2)". It matches the Rfam family "7SK RNA". From Rfam's summary of the family: 7SK was discovered as an abundant small nuclear RNA in the mid-70s but a possible function has only recently been suggested. The record is from Rfam by way of RNAcentral. Lineage: Eukaryota; Metazoa; Chordata; Mammalia; Rodentia; Cricetidae.
AGAUAUGAGAGUGAUCUGGCUGUGACAUCUGUAACCCCAUUGAUCGCCAGGGUUGAUUUGGCUGAUCUGGCUGGCUAUGCAGAUAUCCCCUCCACCUUCAACACUCCAUGUAUGUCCCUCCUGAAGCUACACACUCGGUUGAAGGGAACAACCUUCCCUGAAUAGAGGAGGAGCAGUCUUUGGUCAAGGGUAGACGAGUAGCUGUACUCCGGUGCUAGAACGUUCAAAUAAGAUCCAAAUUCAUUUGAAGGAAAAAAAAGCCUAAACUGAAAAGAUCCUCUGUACCUCAAACGAAACUGCUUAGGAGGUAUUUU